Molecule: ribosomal RNA, 491 nt
Filed under: uncultured bacterium
Lineage: Bacteria
Description: partial 16S ribosomal RNA
Rfam family: Bacterial small subunit ribosomal RNA
Source: RNAcentral
GAUGAACGCUAGCUACAGGCUUAACACAUGCAAGUCGAGGGGAAACGACAUCGAAAGCUUGCUUUUGAUGGGCGUCGACCGGCGCACGGGUGAGUAACGCGUAUCCAACCUGCCCACCACUUGGGGAUAACCUUGCGAAAGUAAGACUAAUACCCAAUGAUAUCUCUAGAAGACAUCUGAAAGAGAUUAAAGAUUUAUCGGUGAUGGAUGGGGAUGCGUCUGAUUAGCUUGUUGGCGGGGUAACGGCCCACCAAGGCAACGAUCAGUAGGGGUUCUGAGAGGACGGUCCCCCACAUUGGAACUGAGACACGGUCCAAACUCCUACGGGAGGCAGCAGUGAGGAAUAUUGGUCAAUGGACGAGAGUCUGAACCAGCCAAGUAGCGUGCAGGAAGACGGCCCUCUGGGUUGUAAACUGCUUUUAUAAGGGAAUAAAGUGAGUCUCGUGAGACUUUUUGCAUGUACCUUAUGAAUAAGGACCGGCUAAUUCCGU